AGAAAUUUAUCUGCCAUCUCUGUUCCUCAGCUUUCUCCCAGAGAUUUAACUCCUCUAAAGCUCUGUGAUACCUCCAGAUCCCAUCAGUAGGUGAGGCCCAUUCAUCAAACCUGUGAUGCGGUGUUUCAGCCAUGAGGAGGUAGGGGAAAUUACUUGAAGACUCGACAUUGGCAUUGAGCAGUAGAAUGUGAGACCAACAAGCCGCUGGACACAGAGGAUCCAGGGGGAAAUCAGUUGUUAGCUAGGAGGAUUUGCAUGUGGUUGACUGCUCUUACCAAAGGAUGAUGUAAACCUGGAGGUACAAGAUAUCAUAGACCACAUCUGACAUGACAACACAGCAAGGAAGCUGAGAACCUUUGAUGACCAGCUGGCUACUGCUACAAAAAUUAGAAAAAAAUAGCAAGAAGGAACAGAAAAAUCCAUAUAAAAGUGUAAACAAGCCAGACACAGUGGCACACAUCUGUAAUCCACUCUUGGAUUGGAUUGUGAAUAGAUUUAUAUUCAGAAUAUCAACACAGCAUAAACAUAUUGCCUGGCAAUUUAGCCAUUUUGUAAGACCCUAUCUUAAAAUAAAAAAUAA
Long non-coding RNA from Fukomys damarensis (Damara mole-rat), 580 nucleotides. RefSeq lists it as uncharacterized. The record is from RefSeq and is a predicted model, not a curated record. The transcript is spliced from 3 exons. Lineage: Eukaryota; Metazoa; Chordata; Mammalia; Rodentia; Bathyergidae.